AAAUGCUUCAGACACUCGUUGAAAGUGUUUCAGUUCAAAUAAAUUUCAUCAUGUCACUAGUUUAUGGAUCUUCUGACAAAGAAAAUGGUGCACUGGAUCAAAUACUGAAUAGAGACGAAUUAGAAACAUUUGUAAAUAAUAAAAAACGACUGAAGAAACUUUACCAAACAGAAUACAGUUAUAUGAGGUCUUUCUUAUGGGAGAAUAAGAGUAGAGAUUUUCCUCUUAAGGAUUAUUACGUUAAUUUAAAACUGCAGGAAACACAUAAUUUUAGUGUUAGUCCAAUUGGUGACAUUCUUGAUAUCAAGGAUAUA
Long non-coding RNA from Centruroides sculpturatus (bark scorpion), 314 nucleotides. RefSeq lists it as uncharacterized. NCBI's taxonomy places the organism in Eukaryota, Metazoa, Arthropoda, Arachnida, Scorpiones, Buthidae. The record is from RefSeq and is a predicted model, not a curated record. The transcript is spliced from 3 exons.